Molecule: ribosomal RNA, 262 nt
Filed under: uncultured bacterium
Lineage: Bacteria
Description: partial 16S ribosomal RNA
Rfam family: Bacterial small subunit ribosomal RNA
Source: RNAcentral
CGAACGGGUGAGUAACGCUCGGGGAAGUCUGCCUUUGANCGGGGACAACAUUUGGAAACGAAUGCUAAUACCGACAUAAAAACUUUUAAAACACAAGUUUAAGUUUGAAAGAUGCAAUUGCAUCACUCAAAGAUGAUCCCGCGUUGUAUUAGCUAGUUGGUGAGGUAAAGGCUCACCAAGGCGAUGAUACAUAGCCGACCUGAGAGGGUGAUCGGCCACAUUGGGACUGAGACACGGCCCAAACUCCUACGGGAGGCAGCAG